UGACGGGACCUGAAUACCUGCUGAAAGUGU
Molecule: non-coding RNA, 30 nt
Filed under: Mus musculus (house mouse)
Lineage: Eukaryota; Metazoa; Chordata; Mammalia; Rodentia; Muridae
Source: RNAcentral